Oryza meridionalis is the source of this 206-nucleotide non-coding RNA. Lineage: Eukaryota; Viridiplantae; Streptophyta; Magnoliopsida; Poales; Poaceae. The record is from Rfam.
UUUAAACACAGCUAUAGGUUUCCGUGUUCAACUUUGAUCGCCUGCCUUAUUUAAUUUUUCUUUUACGAUUGGUGCUUUUUUUGUCAUUAGAUGAUAAAAAAUAAAUAGUAUUUUAUGCGUGACUUUUGUUUUUUAUUUUUUUUUAAAAAAAAUUCAAACAAACGGACGAUUAAAAUUGGAUACGGAAACUUAUGGCUACAUUUAAA